Small nucleolar RNA from Ictalurus punctatus (channel catfish), 150 nucleotides. The record is from Ensembl. NCBI's taxonomy places the organism in Eukaryota, Metazoa, Chordata, Actinopteri, Siluriformes, Ictaluridae.
CUUCAAUGAUGAUACGAUGACGAGUCGGAACGGGAUGCUGGUUGUCUCUCUGGAUUCUGAGUUAGCGGUCACGUUCUGUGCCCCUGAUUCAGUUCCUCAGAGCGCAGUGUUCCUUUUGGUUGAAGACAUCGAGGCAUUUGUCUGAGAAGA